This is a non-coding RNA of Cicer arietinum (chickpea), 459 nucleotides long. The record is from RefSeq and is a predicted model, not a curated record. NCBI's taxonomy places the organism in Eukaryota, Viridiplantae, Streptophyta, Magnoliopsida, Fabales, Fabaceae.
GAGCUUUGUUAUUGUGCAACGAAAACCAACAACCACAUAUUUUUGUCGUGCUCAUUUGCUACUAGGAUAUGGUUUUGACUAAAAUCUAUUUUUCAUUCUCAAAUUGAUACUAGUUCAAUUUCAAUAUCUUCUUGCCAUUUGUUACACGUUGGUCUCCUCAAUGCAAAAAAUGUUAUUUUAUUCAUCAUCAUCUUUACUAUUGACACUAUUUGGUAUUGCAAGAAUCAAAUCUACUUUGAAGGAACUUUAAAUUCUCAAGUCCUUCUAGAUUAAAAUUCAUCCUCCUAAGACUCCUACCAUCAAGGAAGUGAUUUGUUAUCCUCUCAAAGAUUGGAUAAAUGUAAUACUCAUAAAGUUGCUUAUGAAUGUUCUGACCAUGCUGCUUGCGAAAGUAUUUUUAGGGACAAUUAUGUUGCUUCCAUGGAUUGUUACGUUGUGAAUUUGACCAUUACAACUAUA